UACGGGGGGGGUAAGCGUUGUUCGGAAUUACUGGGCGUAAAGGGCUCGUAGGCGGCCAACUAAGUCGGACGUGAAAUCCCUCAGCUUAACUGGGGAACUGCGUCUGAUACUGGAUGGCUUGAGAUUGGGAGAGGGAUGCGGAAUUCCAGGUGUAGCGGUGAAAUGCGUAGAUAUCUGGAGGAACACCGGUGGCGAAGGCGGCAUCCUGGACCAACACUGACGCUGAGGAGCGAAAGCCAGGGGAGCAAACGGG
This 253-nucleotide ribosomal RNA is filed under the name uncultured bacterium. Its description in RNAcentral is "partial 16S ribosomal RNA". It matches the Rfam family "Bacterial small subunit ribosomal RNA", at positions 524 to 776 of the family's 1533-position model. The record is from RNAcentral.